GACGAACGCUGGCGGCGUGCUUAACACAUGCAAGUCGAACGGAAAGGCCCUGCUUUUGUGGGGUGCUCGAGUGGCGAACGGGUGAGUAACACGUGAGUAACCUGCCCUUGACUUUGGGAUAACUUCAGGAAACUGGGGCUAAUACCGGAUAGGAGCUCCUGCUGCAUGGUGGGGGUUGGAAAGUUUUGGCGGUUGGGGAUGGACUCGCGGCUUAUCAGCUUGUUGGUGGGGUAGUGGCUUACCAAGGCUUUGACGGGUAGCCGGCCUGAGAGGGUGACCGGCCACAUUGGGACUGAGAUACGGCCCAGACUCCUACGGGAGGCAGCAGUGGGGAAUAUUGCACAAUGGGCGGAAGCCUGAUGCAGCAACGCCGCGUGCGGGAUGAAGGCCUUCGGGUUGUAAACCGCUUUCGCCUGUGACGAAGCGUGAGUGACGGUAAUGGGUAAAGAAGCACCGGCUAACUACGUG
This 468-nucleotide ribosomal RNA is filed under the name uncultured bacterium. Its description in RNAcentral is "partial 16S ribosomal RNA". It matches the Rfam family "Bacterial small subunit ribosomal RNA", at positions 28 to 507 of the family's 1533-position model. The record is from RNAcentral.